Molecule: long non-coding RNA, 1533 nt
Filed under: Mus musculus (house mouse)
Lineage: Eukaryota; Metazoa; Chordata; Mammalia; Rodentia; Muridae
Description: long non-coding RNA chr2:72142919-72144452
Source: RNAcentral
GGGGAGUCUAAGCUUCAAAAGGAAAUUCCAGCACUUUUAGUCUCUUGGUGACCUUUAGGUUGUAGCCCCCUGCAGUGGGACCCACAGACACAGGACUCUAAGCAGAGGACCAACAGCUGCUGUGUGCUCAUCUCCAGACAAAAAUAGGAAUCUGAAGUUUGCAGAACCUUAGAUCCAGUGAAUUGUGGGCGACAUGUUACCCUGAAAGAUUUUGGGAACUGGGCAAGCUUUCUGCCUGGCGUUAGAACUAGCAGAAACUUCCUGGGAUUCUUCUUGACCGGUCUCUAGCAAACCAUAAAGGAUGUGUCCUCUGUACUCGCCAACAGCAUAGAUGUAAUGGUACCAAAUGCAGUUUGGGAAGAUUUCCAGCGCAGUCAAAGAAGGCAGAGGAGAUGAAAGACAUUCAUGAGUAGAGUUGAAGUUCCAGAGAGAUAAAAAGAGGCCUGAGAACCUUAAAGUGGGGCUAAUUGAAAAAUUUCCCUUUAAAGGGACAACUCAGGAUAUCAUGUUUUCUUUUAUCCUUUCUCUUCUUUAAGUACAUGCUGAGAGACACUAUUCCCACGCCUUCCCAAAUAACGCUAAUACGCCCGUGGGAUGAAAUGAAAGCGCUCAGAUGAUUGCUGCGGAGUCUGCACAGAUUCUUUGUAGAAAGAAGCCACUCUUUUUCCUGGCUUCCACUCAUGGGUUUGUUAAUCAUCGUGUUUAACUUGGAAUCAAACACGAGGGCACCAAUGUGUAGCAUUUUGAACUGCCUCACCAGCUCUGUGUUAUUUCCAGACCUGGUCUUACUGGGCAUAAAUAGAACUUUCUUUUCCCUCAGUCCCAUAUAGCUACUUGCUAGAUUGUUUUGUCUAUACACCGCUCUAAGCACCAGGGCCAUCAGUCAAUGCAGGGUGGGUCCAGGCCACCGAAACCUCCGCAGCGGUGGAGAGAAGCGCUAGAGAAGGCUGUGGAACCAAUAAGCAAUGGACUGUGUUCACAGUGCUGUGGCUGUAUACCGAUGUUGCUGUUACCAAGACACCCUUCUCUUGGAUCUGUGUGAUCUAUAGUCUUUGCAUGCCAAAUCUGGCUGACCAGGUUUAAAACUAAAGUUAAAACCCUAGGUAUGAACUUUCCAUCCAUUGUGACAGCUAGCUUUUAAGGAAAGGAGACUUUCCAUGAGAUUUUUGUCCCCGGUGAGAUUUUGUUGGUUGUUGUGCUGAGUCUUUAGAAAGGCAACUGGCAAGAGUUUUGUGGUUUUAGAGAGCUCCGUUCUUUCUAAGUGAAAAAAGUAGGAAAAUUGACUCUGUGAUCAGAAAGCUGCUGAAAAAAAAAUUCCAUUUCCUGAAUGACCAACAUCUCGUUUCCACUUGAAGCGUUCAUUCCUAGGCAGUUGCGGAGUUGACACAGAGCUGUGUGCAGCGGCCCCCUCAAAUCUGAAGGUGAUUCCAAGCACCGGCAGAUCUGGGUGCACCCAGGAAUGAAGGAACAUGGCUCCUUUCCAAAUGACUGGCAGGCCUCGUGUAAGAGAAUUAGUUUAAGCGAGAGUUUCCC